AGGAAUAUUGGUCAAUGGGCGAGAGCCUGAACCAGCCAAGUAGCGUGAAGGAUGACUGCCCUAUGGGUUGUAAACUUCUUUUAUAAAGGAAUAAAGUCGGGUAUGGAUACCCGUUUGCAUGUACUUUAUGAAUAAGGAUCGGCUAACUCCGUGCCAGCAGCCGCAGUAAUACGGAGGAUCCGAGCGUUAUCCGGAUUUAUUGGGUUUAAAGGGAGCGUAGAUGGAUAUUUAAGUCAGUUGUGAAAGUUUGCGGCUCAACCGUAAAAUUGCAGUUGAUACUGGAUAUCUUGAGUGCAGUUGAGGCAGGCGGAAUUCGUGGUGUAGCGGUGAAAUGCUUAGAUAUCACGAAGAACUCCGAUUGCGAAGGCAGCCUGCUAAGCUGCAACUGACAUUGAGGCUCGAAAGUGUGGGUGUCAAACAGGAUUAGAUACCCUGGUAGUCCACACGGUAAACGAUGAAUACUCGCUGUUUGCGAUAUACUGCAAGCGGCCAAGCGAAAGCGUUAAGUAUUCCACCUGGGGAGUACGCCGGCAACGGUGAAACUCAAAGGAAUUGACGGGGGCCCGCACAAGCGGAGGAACAUGUGGUUUAAUUCGAUGAUACGCGAGGAACCUUACCCGGGCUUAAAUUGCAGAUGAAUUACGGUGAAAGCCGUAAGCCGCAAGGCAUCUGUGAAGGUGCUGCAUGGUUGUCGUCAGCUCGUGCCGUGAGGUGUCGGCUUAAGUGCCAUAACGAGCGCAACCCUUGUUGUCAGUUACUAACAGGUUCCGCUGAGGACUCUGACAAGACUGCCAUCGUAAGAUGUGAGGAAGGUGGGGAUGACGUCAAAUCAGCACGGCCCUUACGUCCGGGGCUACACACGUGUUACAAUGGGGGGUACAGAGGGCCGCUACCACGCGAGUGGAUGCCAAUCCCCAAAACCUCUCUCAGUUCGGACUGGAGUCUGCAACCCGACUCCACGAAGCUGGAUUCGCUAGUAAUCGCGCAUCAGCCACGGCGCGGUGAAUACGUUCCCG
Molecule: ribosomal RNA, 1016 nt
Filed under: uncultured bacterium
Lineage: Bacteria
Description: bacterial SSU rRNA
Rfam family: Bacterial small subunit ribosomal RNA
Source: RNAcentral